GACAAGCUUGGCCGAGUGGUUAAGGCGAUGGACUUGAAAUCCAUUGGGGUAACCUGCGUGAGUUCAAAUCUCACAGCUGUCG
This 82-nucleotide transfer RNA is filed under the name Pythium insidiosum. RNAcentral describes it as "tRNA-Ser". It matches the Rfam family "tRNA". Rfam says of the family: Transfer RNA (tRNA) molecules are approximately 80 nucleotides in length. Lineage: Eukaryota; Oomycota; Peronosporomycetes; Pythiales; Pythiaceae. The record is from RNAcentral.